Molecule: ribosomal RNA, 548 nt
Filed under: uncultured Glomeromycotina
Lineage: Eukaryota; Fungi; Glomeromycota
Description: SSU rRNA
Rfam family: Eukaryotic small subunit ribosomal RNA
Source: RNAcentral
UUGGAGGGCAAGUCUGGUGCCAGCAGCCGCGGUAAUUCCAGCUCCAAUAGCGUAUAUUAAAGUUGUUGCAGUUAAAAAGCUCGUAGUUGAAUUUCGGGAUCGAAUUGUUGGUCGUGCCUCGGUACGCACUGGCAUUAUCGGUUCCUACCUUCUGAAGAACCGCGAUGUCAUUAAUUUGGUGUCGUGGGGAAUCAGGACUGUUACUUUGAAAAAAUUAGAGUGUUUAAAGCAGGCUUACGCUUGAAUACAUUAGCAUGGAAUAAUGAAAUAGGACGUUUGAUUCUAUUUUGUUGGUUUCUAGGAUCGACGUAAUGAUUAAUAGGGAUAGUUGGGGGCAUUAGUAUUCAAUUGUCAGAGGUGAAAUCCUUGGAUUUAUUGAAGACUAACUACUGCGAAAGCAUUUGCCAAGGAUGUUUUCAUUAAUCAAGAACGAAAGUUAGGGGAUCGAAGACGAUCAGAUACCGUCGUAGUCUUAACCAUAAACUAUGCCGACUAGGGAUCGGAUGAUGUUAAUUUUAUAAUGACUCAUUCGGCGCCUUACGGGAAAC